RNAcentral lists this transfer RNA (64 nucleotides) under Suinzona cyrtonoides. RNAcentral describes it as "tRNA-Pro". Lineage: Eukaryota; Metazoa; Arthropoda; Insecta; Coleoptera; Chrysomelidae. The record is from RNAcentral.
CAAGAAUUAGUUUAUUAAAAUUUUAAUUUUGGAGAUUAAAGAUAAAAAAUUUUUUUAUUCUUGA